RNAcentral lists this ribosomal RNA (427 nucleotides) under uncultured bacterium. RNAcentral describes it as "partial 16S ribosomal RNA". It matches the Rfam family "Bacterial small subunit ribosomal RNA", at positions 355 to 774 of the family's 1533-position model. The record is from RNAcentral.
UGGGGAAUAUUGCGCAAUGGGCGCAAGCCUGAUGCAGCCAUGCCGCGUGUAUGAAGAAGGCCUUCGGGUUGUAAAGUACUUUCAGCGGGGAGGAAGGCGAUGCGGUUAAUAACCGCGUCGAUUGACGUUACCCGCAGAAGAAGCACCGGCUAACUCCGUGCCAGCAGCCGCGGUAAUACGGAGGGUGCAAGCGUUAAUCGGAAUUACUGGGCGUAAAGCGCACGCAGGCGGUCUGUCAAGUCGGAUGUGAAAUCCCCGGGCUCAACCUGGGAACUGCAUCCGAAACUGGCAGGCUUGAGUCUCGUAGAGGGGGGUAGAAUUCCAGGUGUAGCGGUGAAAUGCGUAGAGAUCUGGAGGAAUACCGGUGGCGAAGGCGGCCCCCUGGACGAAGACUGACGCUCAGGUGCGAAAGCGUGGGGAGCAAACA